CCUACGGGGGGCAGCAGUGAGGAAUAUUGGUCAAUGGGCGCGAGCCUGAACCAGCCAAGUAGCGUGAAGGAUGAAUGCCCUACGGGUUGUAAACUUCUUUUAUAAAGGAAUAAAGUGAGGCACGUGUGCGUUUUUGGAUGUACGUUAUGAAAAAGGAUCGGCUAACUCCGUGCCAGCAGCCGCGGUAAUACGGAGGAUCCGAGCGUUAUCCGGAUUUAUUGGGUUUAAAGGGAGCGUAGAGGGGUUGUUAAGUCCGUUGUGAAAGUUUGCGGCUCACCCGUAGAAUUGCAUUUGAUACUGGCAGUCUUGAGUACAGUUGAGGUCGGCGGAAUUCGUGUUGUCGCGGUGACAUGCUUAGAUAUCACG
This 366-nucleotide ribosomal RNA is filed under the name uncultured bacterium. RNAcentral's name for it is "partial 16S ribosomal RNA". It matches the Rfam family "Bacterial small subunit ribosomal RNA", at positions 338 to 701 of the family's 1533-position model. The record is from RNAcentral.